This 465-nucleotide ribosomal RNA is filed under the name Vreelandella stevensii. RNAcentral describes it as "partial 16S ribosomal RNA". It matches the Rfam family "Bacterial small subunit ribosomal RNA", at positions 338 to 795 of the family's 1533-position model. Lineage: Bacteria; Pseudomonadati; Pseudomonadota; Gammaproteobacteria; Oceanospirillales; Halomonadaceae. The record is from RNAcentral.
CCUACGAGAGGCAGCAGUGGGGAAUAUUGGACAAUGGGGGGAACCCUGAUCCAGCCAUGCCGCGUGUGUGAAGAAGGCCCUCGGGUUGUAAAGCACUUUCAGUGAGGAAGAACGCCUGGUGGUUAAUACCCAUCAGGAAAGACAUCACUCACAGAAGAAGCACCGGCUAACUCCGUGCCAGCAGCCGCGGUAAUACGGAGGGUGCGAGCGUUAAUCGGAAUUACUGGGCGUAAAGCGCGCGUAGGUGGCUUGAUAAGCCGGUUGUGAAAGCCCCGGGCUCAACCUGGGAACGGCAUCCGGAACUGUCAAGCUAGAGUGCAGGAGAGGAAGGUAGAAUUCCCGGUGUAGCGGUGAAAUGCGUAGAGAUCGGGAGGAAUACCAGUGGCGAAGGCGGCCUUCUGGACUGACACUGACACUGAGGUGCGAAAGCGUGGGUAGCAAACAGGAUUAGAUACCCGUGUAGUC